RNAcentral lists this long non-coding RNA (1526 nucleotides) under Carica papaya (papaya). Its description in RNAcentral is "long non-coding RNA (CPAP_LNC014060)". The record is from RNAcentral. Lineage: Eukaryota; Viridiplantae; Streptophyta; Magnoliopsida; Brassicales; Caricaceae.
AAGACUGGUUCCACAUUGGGAAAUAGAUCAGGAUUCGACUUAUGAAAUUAAUCUACUACAGUAAUGUACAAUGUAUCGCCACAAUAAAUCGCUAAAAAGGCAAAAAAAUUAAGAGAACUGAAUUUAUGCAGUAAAUCGAACAGCAAACAGACUGAAGAAAAUUUUCAACAUCCAUUUUGCAGCCCAUGUAAACAACAUUUUUCACAUUUCUCUCCACGUCACAGUUUUGCACUCGCUUCAGGAUUCUCUCAAAAGCACAAAAAUUUCAAUUUCAGCACCAAAACAUGAUGAACUUAAGAGAACUAUAUCACCCAAUAGUACCCAAUUCGCAUUGAGACUUAUUAAAUUUCAGUCAAAUUGAAGAUUUUCCACCAUGUUAAAGAAAUUAUUCAUACUAUUCAUUCAUCAAUUUGCAAUUCAGACCCAUUCCAAACACAUUAUAUUUCUCUUACAAGUCCAAUUCUUCCAAUUAUUUGGUAGUUGAUUUUUUAACCCAAGAAGAAAAAAACACCGCAAUUCAUUAGUAAACAGAAAAGAUUAAAAAAUAAUAUUAGUUGAACUACGCUAUACCAUAAACCGCACCGUGACUAAGCAACUCUACGCAUUAAACUAAUUAAUUAAACUGCAUUAUCGGUGAAACUAAGACUCCUUAAAGAGUAAAAACCAAGUAAAUUUUCCCUAACAAUCCAAGCUUGCCGAUCAAGAGCAAGAAAGCAUAGCUCUACUGUAAAACAAAAGAAAAAGAGAGAGAGAGAGAGAGAGAGAGAGAGAGAGAGAAAAAAGAGAGAGAACGAUUGAAAACACUUCAACUCCCUACAGCUUGAAGUAGUAGAAGAGUAGCGAAAGUACUCAACAUUUCCGAAGCAAAUUACCAAGCAAUGCUUACUCUAAAUCAAAAGAAUUUCAAACAAACAGUCCGUGUUUAAAUUAAAUUAACGAACCUCUACUGAUUCGAUCUGCGAAGAAGAUAAAAUGGGGGUGGUGGAGUCGUCGAGCUGUAAAGCAAAAAUAUAUAACAAACAAAACAAAAAACAAAAUAAUUUUAUGAGAUUGUAGAGAGAGAGAGAGAGAGAGGGGAGAGUGUGUGUGUGUCUGUCUGAGUAGAGAGAGAGUGCGGGUGUGGGGAAUAGAUGCCUGGAAAUUAAAAGAGGAACCAAUGAACAUAAGGUUUUCUUACACAUGUGAGUGAUAUCUCCCACACGUACCAACCGACGAUUCUUUCUAUACAAUUCUACGCUACCGUACUCUAUACUCUCCUCUACAGUACCUCCGGUUCUAAAUUACUGCCACGUCAUUGCCUCAUGUUUUUUCACUCGGGCAUUUAUGUGAAUUUCCUAAAAUGCCCUUGUCAAAAUCUACAAAUAUGUUAAACGCCAUUUUAUGGAAAAUAUCUGCUGGAAGCUACCCGUUUUGUGGUUUGAAAUGGACGGAUGGAUUACGCCAGAUGUGGGACCCACUCACCGAUGGAAUCAGCCAAGUCAGACUUUUAUUGACUCCGUACAAAAGACGCCAUAAUUAAAUGAUAU